RNAcentral lists this ribosomal RNA (451 nucleotides) under uncultured bacterium. RNAcentral describes it as "bacterial SSU rRNA". It matches the Rfam family "Bacterial small subunit ribosomal RNA", at positions 29 to 524 of the family's 1533-position model. The record is from RNAcentral.
AACGAACGCUGGCGGCAGGCUUAACACAUGCAAGUCGAACGCGUGUAGCAAUACACGAGUGGCGCACGGGUGAGUAACGCGUGGAUAUCUGCCUUUUGGUUCGGAAUAACCCCGGGAAACUGGGGCUAAUACCGGAUGGUUCCUACGGGAUAAAGAUUUAUCGCCAAAAGAUGAGUCCGCGUACGAUUAGCUAGUUGGUGAGGUAAUGGCUCACCAAGGCGACGAUCGUUAGCUGGUCUGAGAGGACGAUCAGCCACACUGGGACUGAGACACGGCCCAGACUCCUACGGGAGGCAGCAGUGGGGAAUAUUGGACAAUGGGGGGCAACCCUGAUCCAGCCAUGCCGCGUGAGUGAUGAAGGCCUUCGGGUUGUAAAGCUCUUUUGGCGGGGACGAUGAUGACGGUACCGCAGAUAAGCCCCGGCUAACUUCGUGCCAGCAGCCGCGGUAAU